RNAcentral lists this ribosomal RNA (499 nucleotides) under uncultured bacterium. RNAcentral describes it as "partial 16S ribosomal RNA". It matches the Rfam family "Bacterial small subunit ribosomal RNA", at positions 899 to 1397 of the family's 1533-position model. The record is from RNAcentral.
ACUCAAAUGAAUUGACGGGGGCCCGCACAAGCGGCGGAGCAUGCGGAUUAAUUCGAUGCAACGCGAAGAACCUUACCAAGGCUUGACAUAUGCGAGAACGCGGCAGAGAUGUCGUUCUCUUUGGACACUCGUAUACAGGUGGUGCAUGGUUGUCGUCAGCUCGUGUCGUGAGAUGUUGGGUUAAGUCCCGCAACGAGCGCAACCCUCGUUCUAUGUUGCCAGCACGUGAUGGUGGGGACUCAUAGGAGACUGCCGGGGUCAACUCGGAGGAAGGUGGGGAUGACGUCAAAUCAUCAUGCCCCUUAUGUCUUGGGCUUCACGCAUGCUACAAUGGCCGGUACAAAGGGCUGCGAAACCGCGAGGUGGAGCGAAUCCCAAAAAACCGGUCUCAGUUCGGAUUGGGGUCUGCAACUCGACCCCAUGAAGUCGGAGUCGCUAGUAAUCGCAGAUCAGCAACGCUGCGGUGAAUACGUUCCCGGGCCUUGUACACACCGCCCGU